Molecule: ribosomal RNA, 920 nt
Filed under: human gut metagenome
Description: bacterial SSU rRNA
Rfam family: Bacterial small subunit ribosomal RNA
Source: RNAcentral
AGAGUUUGAUCCUGGCUCAGGACGAACGCUGGCGGCGUGCCUAAUACAUGCAAGUCGAACGCUGAAGAGAGGAGCUUGCUCUUCUUGGAUGAGUUGCGAACGGGUGAGUAACGCGUAGGUAACCUGCCUUGUAGCGGGGGAUAACUAUUGGAAACGAUAGCUAAUACCGCAUAACAAUGGAUGACUCAUGUCAUUUAUUUGAAAGGGGCAAUUGCUCCACUACAAGAUGGACCUGCGUUGUAUUAGCUAGUAGGUGAGGUAACGGCUCACCUAGGCGACGAUACAUAGCCGACCUGAGAGGGUGAUCGGCCACACUGGGACUGAGACACGGCCCAGACUCCUACGGGAGGCAGCAGUAGGGAAUCUUCGGCAAUGGGGGCAACCCUGACCGAGCAACGCCGCGUGAGUGAAGAAGGUUUUCGGAUCGUAAAGCUCUGUUGUAAGUCAAGAACGAGUGUGAGAGUGGAAAGUUCACACUGUGACGGUAGCUUACCAGAAAGGGACGGCUAACUACGUGCCAGCAGCCGCGGUAAUACGUAGGUCCCGAGCGUUGUCCGGAUUUAUUGGGCGUAAAGCGAGCGCAGGCGGUUUGAUAAGUCUGAAGUUAAAGGCUGUGGCUCAACCAUAGUUCGCUUUGGAAACUGUCAAACUUGAGUGCAGAAGGGGAGAGUGGAAUUCCAUGUGUAGCGGUGAAAUGCGUAGAUAUAUGGAGGAACACCGGUGGCGAAAGCGGCUCUCUGGUCUGUAACUGACGCUGAGGCUCGAAAGCGUGGGGAGCGAACAGGAUUAGAUACCCUGGUAGUCCACGCCGUAAACGAUGAGUGCUAGGUGUUGGAUCCUUUCCGGGAUUCAGUGCCGCAGCUAACGCAUUAAGCACUCCGCCUGGGGAGUACGACCGCAAGGUUGAAACUCAAAGGAAU